Molecule: unclassified non-coding RNA, 3499 nt
Filed under: Leishmania donovani
Lineage: Eukaryota; Euglenozoa; Kinetoplastea; Trypanosomatida; Trypanosomatidae
Description: gene:LdHU3.12.1210(CDS-product:hypothetical_prote in_conserved)
Source: RNAcentral
GGAGGACAGCACCGAUAUGUCGAGCUGCGCCCUGUGCUGUGAAGCUCUUGUUUCAGUGCCCUCCCUGCCGUGCCGCCGCAACCGCGCCGCGACGACGGCUGUCACGCUACCGCGGAGGACGGUGCCGCCUGAUGCCGACGCGGGCGUCGAGGCCUACCGGCACCACGUAGCCCGCAGAGCUGACAUCGGCGGCGGCUGUGCUUCUGCACGUUCGCGUCGCACCUCUGCGCACCGCACGGCGUUGUCGGAGCACGGUGUGCGCCAGCCCAGCAGCCGGGGUGAUAGGUGCCGACCUGCUGUGUGUGACGCGCGCGACCGCACCGCACGAGACCCGGUGCAGGCGCCGGCGUCGCCCUUGUCCGGGAGGGUGCAGCGGCGGCGCCUGUGGAUGUUGCCCUGUGACGCUUUUCGUCCUCCGCGCUGAGCUUCGGUCACGCCUCCGCGACGUCUUGCCGAGAUGCGGAGGCGUGUGCGACGACAGGCGAUGCUGAUGCGCUUCUCCUGCCCGCACCGCGUCUGGGCCGGCCAGCGGUGGGGUGGGCGCCCCUGCCGUGGCGGCGCGCGAUGGGCGCCGGCGUCGUGCGGCUGCCACACCCUCGCCACGGCCGGGCGCUCCUGUGCUUCGUGGUGCGCGAUCCGGUUGCCUGCACCGUGGCGAGGCCGCGCACGCCGACGCUGCCUUGCCCGGCGCAUGCCUCGUCCUCGCUGCUGUAGGAGGUGCGGGCGCACGCGCCGCCGAGCGGCUUCGCGCAGCGCUGCGACCGCCUGGCGCGCACCUUCAUGUCGGCGGCAGACCUGUACAGGGAUGGGGACGCGCCGCUCUCAGCUGGCGCCUCCGCCUCCGCUGCUGGCUGCGAGGCCGCGGCGCCGUGGGCAAACGCGUGUGUGUUUGCGCUCGGCGGUGUGUGCGGUGGUGGCGAGGACUGGCGGUCGCCGAGGUCCGCGUGUGCGCGGCUGACGGCCGAGCUUUCCGCCUGGAGUGGAGCGGAUGGCACGCACGUGGGGUGCGGGGGCCCGCACGGCUGGACGGCUGACCCGCGGUCGCGGCCGGCGGCGUCGUCCAUGUGCUCUGCCACGCCUCACGGGUGGGCUGGCUGGGCACGUGCAGCAGCAGCGCGCCCGCUCCUCCUGCGCGGCUGCGUGGGCGUGCCUGAGUCCGACGGCGUGCUGCGGCGGCUGUGCGAGGCCCGUGAAGUCGGCGGCAGCGUCUCUGCGCAGACGGCGUCCUGUGAUGCGCCCGCCGACAGCCGCCACGCUGCGCACCACAGGCCAUCCGAGUCGGUGGCGGUGGGGUGGCUGACGAGACAAGUAGAGCGCGUGCGCGCCUCUGCGGUGCUGCGAGCAAUACUGCGGCUGCCGGGUGUCGGUGCUGCUGCGACGGCGACGGCGGCUGCGCCCGCCGAGGCGUGCGUGGGGGCCGCCAUGGCUGUUGCGCUUGGGGUGGUGGCCGAGUACGUGCCGGUCCGGCUGCACGCGGCUCUUGCGGUGGCCUGCGGUCUCGCCGACCCCGCGGCGGCGCCAGCUUGCUCGCCGACAGCGGCGGCGUGACGCGACUGGAGAAGGCUGGGCAGCGGAAGGGCACGCCCCCCUUGCUGGCCGUGCUCGGCGAGAGGAAGCCGAGGACGGAGGGUGGCGCGCCGUGGGCGUGGCGUGGGCGCACGACGGGCCUCGCCAUGGCGGCGCGACGCACGGCGUGUGCCGUGCAGGGUGGGCGAGCAAGGGUGUGCGGGGGAGGGGACGCCGUCGCCUCUGCUGCGUGCUGUGCGGGAGGGCGGCCGCGUGCGUGGGGACAGGUGCAACUGUCCGUCCCGCCCCCGAUGCGGGUGGAGCGCGCUGGAGCCCGUCUGUAUGCGCAUGCGCGCUGCUGCUGUGGCCAGCCUCCCUUCUGCGCCGCCGCGUCGCAGGCGGCACCGCUGCGUUGAGACACGGCGCGCGCCGGUGGGUGGGGUGAGGCCGGGAAUGACUUCUGCUUGGCUUGCUUGCGUGCGAGCAUGCUGGUGGGCUGCUGCCUGGGCGGACUCGGCACGGUGCACCCCAUCCCUCCUCCCUGCGGUCGCCUCGUGCGCGGCGAGGGUGUGCUCUCGCCUUGGCGGUGGCGGCGUGCGUGCGAGCGUUCUCUCCUGCUGGCGCACGUCGGCCGUGCAUCCGCGUGCCGGCGCUGUCUCUGUGGUGUAGGGGAGCGGCCCCUCGUGCCCCCUCUCCCCUCAUCCCUGCGCAUGCGGGGCGGCUUGUGGUGGUGGCAGGGGUAGGCCCCUGCGGCGUAGGGGGAGGCGAGGGCGAUGCGUCGCGGCCUGUGUCGGCGGUGAGGUUGUGGAUGGCGUGGCGCCGGAGCGACGUGCGGCAGUGGACGCGCUUGUGCUGUCCGCAUGGCGGACGAGGGGUCAACGGGGCUCGGGCGUCUCCCACCCGGCCGUUGCUGCCUGCUGGUGGGGAGCCUGAGCCACGCGAAGGUGGACGCACGGGGUGGCUGCCGGCACGGUGCGCGCUGCUGUGGGGCGACCUGCGUGGGGGAUGGGUGGGCAGAGGCUGUGCAGGGGACCGUGCUCAUGCUGCUGGGCCGCGCGCGGGGGCGGCGCGGGGUGUAGCGUGGCGUCGGCCUGCUGCUGUAGGGCGGAGGCAUGGACGCGUCGAAGGGAGCUGCUUGCGCUGUGGCAGACAUCGUCACCCCGGGUGCCGCCUGGCACUCGCCGCUGUCCCCACCUGCCACGUGCGGCCACCCACGCAUGCGGGCGACGAGCGACAUCGGCACUCAUGAGGGUUUUGUGUCCUGUGCGUCCACACCCCCACCGCGCUUGGACAGCGCGCCCAUGCAGCGGUGGGGGCCUCAUGGGCAGAGGGGGGGGUGCCCGCGCCACUGCCUGCUCUCUUGUCCCCGCGUGUCCUUCCUCGGUGAUGGGGGCGAGCAAGCGAGUGCCCCUCGCCGGCCUCUCCCGCCCCACCGAGCAGCGAGAGACACACGUGAGCCACAACGGCGGCCUCGCCUGUGCUGCCUGUGCGUGGCGAGCGGGCGCGUGCAGCCGCAUCCUUCCCCCGCGUGUGCGCACACACCCGUCCGUGGGCGGUGCCGGCGUCUUGCGCGGCGUUGCUCGGCGGUCGCUUUUCCUUUGCUCUCGUCGACUCUGGCGCAGGGUGGUGAGGGCUGCCACCCGGACACGCCCAGGCUGGCGUGGCUGAAGGCAUCGCCGCUGUAGCCGCAACGGGUACGAGUGCGCGCGAGCAGGCGCAGCAGCAGUGGCGGCUGUGGUGCGGGGGUGGUGUUUCCGCCUCCCCCUCUCGGCGUCACUGGCGCCCCUACCAUGCGUAGCGCGUGGUCGUGCUGCCCGUGCUGCUGUCUUGAACCGUGCUUGAUGCUUGCUCCCACUGCGACGCACUUGGCCACUGCCCUGCCGCUCAUCGUUAUUGGUUUCAUGGAGGUGCUCGUGCCGCGUCGCACAGCACUGCGCACACGCACACACACACACACGCACACACACACACACACGUACACACACACACACGU